Synechococcus sp. RS9916 is the source of this 196-nucleotide regulatory RNA element. It matches the Rfam family "psaA RNA". The record is from Rfam. NCBI's taxonomy places the organism in Bacteria, Bacillati, Cyanobacteriota, Cyanophyceae, Synechococcales, Synechococcaceae.
UCUAUGCUUCCGCCAGCGGUCCCCUCUUUGGGGCCCUAAAGCUCCAGUGGUGGUAAGGGGUUUCGGCUUCUGAAAACCACUGGCGCCCGGAUGCGGCAAGGCCAUGCCGAGCUGCGACCGGGGCCCCGAUGAACUCCGGUUCGUCGGAGGGGUGGCCCUCCACCUCGAUCCCGUCCCUCGAGGAACGACUCGAUGA